UCCUUCGGGGUCGGGUGUAAUUCCCAACCGGCGGUGAUAAAGCAGAGCGUUUGCUUUUUAGUCCGUGACCCGUUUGGUUUAGCCAAACGGUUGAUUCGGUGUAAUUCCGAAACCGACAGUGAAAGUCUGGAUGGGAGAAGGAA
Molecule: non-coding RNA, 143 nt
Filed under: Massilibacterium senegalense
Lineage: Bacteria; Bacillati; Bacillota; Bacilli; Caryophanales; Bacillaceae
Description: FMN riboswitch (RFN element)
Rfam family: FMN riboswitch aptamer (RFN element)
About the family: The RFN element is a highly conserved domain that is found frequently in the 5'-untranslated regions of prokaryotic mRNAs that encode for flavin mononucleotide (FMN) biosynthesis and transport proteins. This element is a metabolite-dependent riboswitch that directly binds FMN in the absence of proteins. In Bacillus subtilis, the riboswitch most likely controls gene expression by causing premature transcription termination within the 5' untranslated region of the ribDEAHT operon and precluding access to the ribosome-binding site of ypaA mRNA.
Source: RNAcentral